RNAcentral lists this small RNA (129 nucleotides) under Xenorhabdus eapokensis. RNAcentral's name for it is "tp2". It matches the Rfam family "tp2". The record is from RNAcentral. RNAcentral also lists the same sequence under 1 other name. Lineage: Bacteria; Pseudomonadati; Pseudomonadota; Gammaproteobacteria; Enterobacterales; Morganellaceae.
UGUAUUCCUUAUCUGUUAUCUAUUUUCUAAUGGUUAUUGGAGCCUAUCUUCUGGUCAUACCUUUUGACGAAACUGCCUGUUAUGACCGGAAGAUAGGCCCUGCUAUAUAUUGCCGCUAAAACUCUCGGU